ACGAGCUCUCCUGACUGUGCUCAUCCCUUCCAGGAGUGCCGGCGCGAUCCGUGCUGCACUGUGGGCUGCAAGACAAGGAAGGGCGUGCAGUGCCUGUCGGGGCCGUGCUGCUCCAGGUGCAGGUUCAAGAAAAAAGGCACCCUGUGCAGAACUAGCUCUGAGGAUGAAUGCGAGCUGAAGGAGUAUUGCAAUGGCACCUCUGGGGCAUGCGCACCCAACCUGUGGGUCAUGGACGGGCAUCCCUGCAGGCAGAACACUGCCUUCUGCUACAGAGGGGUAUGCCAGACCGCUGACAAGCAGUGCCAGGAGAUCUUUGGCAAAGAUGCCAAAAACGGACCCUUGGCCUGCUAUGAGGAAGUCAAUGGCCAAAGGGACAGAAUGGGGCACUGCGGCUCUGAUCACAGAGGUUACCACAGCU
This 418-nucleotide long non-coding RNA is filed under the name Gallus gallus (chicken). RNAcentral describes it as "long non-coding RNA NONGGAT005049". The record is from RNAcentral. Lineage: Eukaryota; Metazoa; Chordata; Aves; Galliformes; Phasianidae.